AACGCACAUUGCGCCCAUUGGUAUUCCGAUGGGCAUGCCUGUUCGAGCGUCAUUAUCCUCCCUCAAACCUCGCGUUUGGUGUUGGACCGCGUUGGUUCUCGGGGACCAACGGGUCUCAAAGACAAUGACGGCGUCCGUGGGACCCUCGGUGCAACGAGCUUUUCGGAGCACGCGUCGAGUCGAAAGGAACCCUCCGGGCCGGUCAGUCCAUAUCCUUUUUUUAGGUUGACCUCGGAUCAGGUAGGAAUACCCGCUGAACUUAA
RNAcentral lists this unclassified non-coding RNA (263 nucleotides) under uncultured fungus. RNAcentral's name for it is "partial contains 5.8S ribosomal RNA, internal transcribed spacer 2, and large subunit ribosomal RNA". The stretch from base 1 to 52 matches the Rfam family "5.8S ribosomal RNA", at positions 103 to 154 of the family's 154-position model. The record is from RNAcentral. Lineage: Eukaryota; Fungi.